Molecule: ribosomal RNA, 805 nt
Filed under: uncultured bacterium
Lineage: Bacteria
Description: bacterial SSU rRNA
Rfam family: Bacterial small subunit ribosomal RNA
Source: RNAcentral
AGAGUUUGAUCCUGGCUCAGGAUGAACGCUGGCGGCGUGCUUAACACAUGCAAGUCGAGCGAAGCACUUAGGAAAGAUUCUUCGGAUGAUUUCCUAUUUGACUGAGCGGCGGACGGGUGAGUAACGCGUGGGUAACCUGCCUCAUACAGGGGGAUAACAGUUAGAAAUGACUGCUAAUACCGCAUAAGACCACAGCACCGCAUGGUGCAGGGGUAAAAACUCCGGUGGUAUGAGAUGGACCCGCGUCUGAUUAGUUAGUUGGUGGGGUAACGGCCUACCAAGGCGACGAUCAGUAGCCGACCUGAGAGGGUGACCGGCCACAUUGGGACUGAGACACGGCCCAAACUCCUACGGGAGGCAGCAGUGGGGAAUAUUGCACAAUGGGGGAAACCCUGAUGCAGCGACGCCGCGUGAAGGAAGAAGUAUCUCGGUAUGUAAACUUCUAUCAGCAGGGAAGAUAGUGACGGUACCUGACUAAGAAGCCCCGGCUAACUACGUGCCAGCAGCCGCGGUAAUACGUAGGGGGCAAGCGUUAUCCGGAUUUACUGGGUGUAAAGGGAGCGUAGACGGACUGGCAAGUCUGAUGUGAAAGGCGGGGGCUCAACCCCUGGACUGCAUUGGAAACUGUUAGUCUUGAGUGCCGGAGAGGUAAGCGGAAUUCCUAGUGUAGCGGUGAAAUGCGUAGAUAUUAGGAGGAACACCAGUGGCGAAGGCGGCUUACUGGACGGUAACUGACGUUGAGGCUCGAAAGCGUGGGGAGCAAACAGGAUUAGAUACCCUGGUAGUCCACGCCGUAAACGAUGAA